This 489-nucleotide ribosomal RNA is filed under the name Triticum aestivum (bread wheat). RNAcentral describes it as "partial small subunit ribosomal RNA". Lineage: Eukaryota; Viridiplantae; Streptophyta; Magnoliopsida; Poales; Poaceae. The record is from RNAcentral.
GAUAUGCAACGUAGAACUCGUCCGAGAGCUCCUCCGGCAUACCAUGCAAAGCUUCAUGUGGAUGCGGCCGUGAGACCAGGGCGAGGUGGUUCAGCAGCAGUGGUAUGCAGGGAUGCCAAGGGGAACUACCUGGGUAGCACAGCCCUGGUGGUGCAAGGAGUGGACGACCCAAUGAUUUUAGAGUCGAUAGCCUGCAGGGAGGCACUUUGUGCAGCUGAGGAUCUUCUGUUGCAGAGUUUUGUGGUCGCGUCAGACGCAAAACAGGUGGUGAGAGACAUUGCUGAAGGUUUCCACGGCAAACAUGGCGCAAUUAUCAACAAGAUCAAAGCCUAUUCUACUGCUUUUUCCUGUAGUUUAAUUUUUGAAAGUCGAUACAGUAACGUAGAAGCUCACCGCCUAGCUAGAUACGCUCUUAAUAUAGCACCUGGGCGUCAUGUGUGGUUUGGCCAACCACAUGAUGUAAGCAUUAUCCCACUUUAUGUGGAAUUC